AAUAAUUUGGAAACUGGUACCCAGGGCAAAAGUAUCCUCAAACUUAAAAAAAACACAACUAAGCCUUCACUCUGUCAUGUAACAACUUCUUCUAGAUGGCACCUUAGGGUUCAGCUUCAUCACUUAGAGGUCAUCUAAAUCCUACGGGCACGAAGAACUGUAUGUUAGGAGCUACACCAAGUGGCCUUCCGUGGAGAAAGAAGUCAGGCAUGGUGGUGAAUAAACACCUUUAAUCCCAGCACUCCGAAGGCAGAGCCAGGCAGAUCUCUUGAGUCCAGGCUAGCCUGGUCUACAGAGCAAGUUCCAGGACAGACAGGGCCACACGGAAACCCUGUCUUUCAAAAAAAAGAAAAGAAAAGAAAGCACGAGCUGCCUGUCUCUUAAUUCAGCAGCCAGUGACUUCUGCCCGUGGGGUCCUUCCGUCUGGAACCCACUUGACAGCCAGUUUCCAUUUAGAUCAUCCUCCCGAAAACUUCCAUGUCAGCAGUGGCACAUGGUAACGCUUCCUUUGACCGUGGUGUCCCAUUUGUAAAUUAUGACAGCCAUAAACAAAGAUGGUGGCUUCAGUGGGAGUGCCGACCACACUUCACAGUGAGUCCACAGUUCAUGCCCAGCCCCUCACCCCCGACCCCCAGCCUAGAUCGCCCCACCCUUGCCAUUCGUCAGUAUCCAGGCUGCAGAUGCAGCCCAGGCAGAACUCUGCAGCAGUCAGAAUGAGAUCCACCCACGGUGCACAAUGAACACAGUGAUUUGCUGGUCUCCUGUCCCUAGUGUCUGCUGCUAGGAGAGGAAACCAACAAACCCAUUGAAAAGAGAAUGUAAACUGAGUUAAAUAAGAUUGCCCAUCCCUGGGGCUGGGGAUUUAGCUCAGUGGUAGAGCGCUUGCCUAGCAAACGCAAGGCCCUGGGUUCAGUCCCCAGCUCCGAAAAAAAGAAAAAGG
Molecule: long non-coding RNA, 940 nt
Filed under: Rattus norvegicus (Norway rat)
Lineage: Eukaryota; Metazoa; Chordata; Mammalia; Rodentia; Muridae
Description: long non-coding RNA NONRATT014323
Rfam family: tRNA (bases 857-919)
Source: RNAcentral